UAAUAAAAAACAAACUCAAAAAGAGACAAAAAGAAAAGAAAAAAAAUGUGCAGCAAGCACAUUUUUUCCCCCAACAAUACUAUUAAGAUCACAUUACCUUCACCAAACACAGCUAGAGAUGCGUAGAUGUUUCCAAUUGUACACCGAUUUGCCCCUCAGCACAUUUAGUUCAACAACAGGAGGCCAAAGGAAUUCUUUUGGUUCCCAAAGUUUGAUAAAAAAAAAACAAGAAAGAAAAAAAACAACAACCUUUUCUUAAUACCCCUGAAUUACUUGAUCACUGACCUGCACAAUUCAAUACAAUUUUAGUUAUUGAGCUAAUUUUAAAACUAUUACCUCUCUCACGCAGAAAAAGGGGCUGAAAUCACUUUGCUCUUUAUUGCUGCUCAUAGUCAGUUCAAACCCCAUGUCCCUCACCUAUAAAAAACAAAAAAAAAAACAACAAGAGAACGUAAA
Poecilia latipinna (sailfin molly) is the source of this 456-nucleotide long non-coding RNA. RefSeq lists it as uncharacterized. The record is from RefSeq and is a predicted model, not a curated record. The transcript has 3 exons. NCBI's taxonomy places the organism in Eukaryota, Metazoa, Chordata, Actinopteri, Cyprinodontiformes, Poeciliidae.